GCUCCUUGAUUCAGCGGCGGACGGGUGAGUAAUGCCUAGGAAUCUGCCUGGUAGUGGGGGACAACGUUUCGAAAGGAACGCUAAUACCGCAUACGUCCUACGGGAGAAAGCAGGGGACCUUCGGGCCUUGCGCUAUCAGAUGAGCCUAGGUCGGAUUAGCUAGUUGGUGGGGUAAUGGCUCACCAAGGCGACGAUCCGUAACUGGUCUGAGAGGAUGAUCAGUCACACUGGAACUGAGACACGGUCCAGACUCCUACGGGAGGCAGCAGUGGGGAAUAUUGGACAAUGGGCGAAAGCCUGAUCCAGCCAUGCCGCGUGUGUGAAGAAGGUCUUCGGAUUGUAAAGCACUUUAAGUUGGGAGGAAGGGCAGUAAGCUAAUACCUUGCUGUUUUGACGUUACCGACAGAAUAAGCACCGGCUAACUCUGUGCCAGCAGCCGCGGUAAUACAGAGGGUGCAAGCGUUAAUCGGAAUUACUGGGCGUAAAGCGCGCGUAGGUGGUUUGUUAAGUUGGAUGUGAAAGCCCCGGGCUCAACCUGGGAACUGCAUCCAAAACUGGCAAGCUAGAGUACGGUAGAGGGUGGUGGAAUUUCCUGUGUAGCGGUGAAAUGCGUAGAUAUAGGAAGGAACACCAGUGGCGAAGGCGACCACCUGGACUGAUACUGACACUGAGGUGCGAAAGC
This 682-nucleotide ribosomal RNA is filed under the name Pseudomonas putida. RNAcentral describes it as "bacterial SSU rRNA". It matches the Rfam family "Bacterial small subunit ribosomal RNA", at positions 82 to 760 of the family's 1533-position model. Lineage: Bacteria; Pseudomonadati; Pseudomonadota; Gammaproteobacteria; Pseudomonadales; Pseudomonadaceae. The record is from RNAcentral.